CCCAAAAAGAACCCAAACCAGGAGAUAUAAUUCCAAAAAUAAAACAGAAUAGCUCAGUCCAGUUUUUCCCCUUUGAAAGUCUAAGACAAGAUGGUUUGUUAUCCCUUAGCACUUUAAUUUGGCAUUGCUAUUGCUAGUAAUGGGCUGUGAGCUUUGCACCAAGUUUGAAAAACAUCUGGAUUGAGGCUUGUUAGGUUUGCUCUGACUGAGCUUGUUUUGACUUGCCUGAGGCUUUUUUUUUUUAACUUGGCUGAGUGGUAAGAGCCAUUUUUUUGAUUGACCAAGUGGCUACAGAUAAUUUGUUUUACUUUUGUGUAUCUUUGUAUAGUGCAGCUGUCAGUUUAUAUAGACAGCAGUAACAAGCUUUUAUUCUGUGUAGGAUGAGUUAUUUAUGGCUCUGACCCAAGGACACAGUGUAGAGAAAUGUAGGCUUGGUACAACAGCAAAGGUCUUGAGAAGUGGACAUGUGGGAUGUGCUGCAGAGGAGCGCAGGCAUGGGGUGAUGAGAUGAGGUCUGGGCUGGAACUGGAGACCCCUUGGCUAUAAACCACUCACUGAAGGAAUGCAGACCUGGAGCCGGACUAGGCAGGUUUUAGGGGUAGCAAACAGUACAAAAGUAGUACCCAACAUAAGUAAAAAGCACUACAUAUAGUAAAUUUAGACAUCACACAGCUGCAGAACAAUUAAAAAAGCAUGUUUGAAAAAAAAGUUACUAAUCAUAAUCGGAAUGUCUCUGAGUGGAUCCUGGGGAGAAGAAGAGGGAACCAUCAACAUGAACAUCUUAUUUUGCCUGGCUCAGGGCUCCAGAUGCUGAGGACUCACUGUAGUGCCACCAGUGUGAAACACCCAAGAAUGGGAAGGGUGAGCAUAACACCAAGAAAAGGGGUAGAAGCCACUAAGUGUGUGCAAUAAUUUUAAUAAUAUCAUUCUACAUAGGAUUAUUCUUUGUUUUCCUAUAGUAGUUAAAUCCAGACCAACAACCAUUCUUGGAUAAAAGCCUGUUAAGAUUUCAAGUAUAGUAAUAAUUUACAUACACGUACAUGAUGUGCUUUCUCUUUGCUCAUAAGAUGAGAUACUGAGGCUGUAGCAGUGGUGUGGCAUCUUUCUCCUGGUCUUUCUCUGGUUCUUUUGUGCUCCCCUGAUCUUGCUGGUGCCACUCUAAGCUUAGACUUGUGGUAACAGGGCUGGUAAAGCUGCACUUGUCCCAAGUCAUGGGAAGGAAAUCUACAUAGUCCCAGGGGGAACAAGCUUUCCUAGUGCUAACCCAAGGCUCCAGGUUUGACUCUGAUCGAGCAACGAAAUGUGGGUUCUGGUCCUCAAAAAGUAGCUCCUCCUUGCUGGACCCAGCACAUAUAUCCCCUUUUUUCUAGGAGCAGUGCACGGUGUGCAAAUCCAAGAGCCUCCACCCCCCUUCUAGUGGCUUUGCUUCCCCCUUGGCUGGUAACAGUUUCCUACCCACCUUUUAUCUCCUGCUUGCUUUCAAAGAGGAACUACUGCUAUUGGUAGCAGCUGCUUUCCUUCUGGCUUAUUCUGAAAUAUUCAGUAAUGUGCUCGGGCAAAGGCAGUGCACAAAACUUGGACAGCAGGUGUGGGUGCUGAGCUCCUGCAAGGCUCUGUAAGCAGGUGUCAGGCUUCUGGUCUGUGCGUGCUGUGCAAUGAGUGGGCUGAUGUCCUUGGUCACCCUCCCAGCUAGGACUCCACGGAGGGUUGGGAGCUGCUUCUCCUGAAGACUGUGCAGGCAGAGAAGAGCAAAUGAAGAUAAGGGCUCUCCUCAUGGCGUGUCUGUCUGUCCUCUGCAUGGACAUUGCCAACUUGCUGACAUACUACACCUGCACCAACCAGAGCAGCAAUGGUCGGUGCCUGAUGACUUCCCUGUGUACCAAAAAUGAGACAGCCUGCUUGACUAUGGUUGAUAAGAUAGGUGCUGGCACUCAGCAACAGAAGUUGACAGCAAAACCUGCAUUUCAGCUUGCAGUAUGUUUUGAGACCCUUAAAAAUGCUGCAGUCAGGACAACAGCAAUCACGAGGCAUCUGGGGUGAGACCUCCCACAGCGCUGCUGGGAACUGUGAUUCUGGUCAGUGUUAGCAGGCCUUUUCUCUGGACUGGACUGUGAUGAAGUUCCUGUUGAAUAACCCGUACAAGCCGCUUAACCCAUCCUGGUUCCUGAGCACCUGCAGUCAUUUUGUCCAUCUGUCCCCAGGACAUCUUCUGAACAUCUGAUGUUCAGCCAUGGAAAGACCGGUCUGAAGCUAGCUUGAGCUUGAUGGAGAAGAGAUCCAUCAGUUAUUCUUUUAUAGCUUUUCAUGCAACAGUGCUUUGCAGCUACCAUUAAAAAAAAAAAAAGACAUUUCCAAGAUGCUUA
Long non-coding RNA from Falco peregrinus (peregrine falcon), 2363 nucleotides. RefSeq lists it as uncharacterized. NCBI's taxonomy places the organism in Eukaryota, Metazoa, Chordata, Aves, Falconiformes, Falconidae. The record is from RefSeq and is a predicted model, not a curated record. The transcript has 3 exons.